This 460-nucleotide ribosomal RNA is filed under the name uncultured bacterium. RNAcentral's name for it is "partial 16S ribosomal RNA". It matches the Rfam family "Bacterial small subunit ribosomal RNA", at positions 338 to 795 of the family's 1533-position model. The record is from RNAcentral.
CCUACGGGUGGCUGCAGUGAGGAAUAUUGGUCAAUGGACGCAAGUCUGAACCAGCCAUGCAGCGUGCAGGAAGACGGCUCUAUGAGUUGUAAACUGCUUUUGUACGAGGGUAAACGCAGAUACGAGUAUCUGUCUGAAAGUAUCCUACGAAUAAGGAACGGCUAACUCCGUGCCAGCAGCCGCGGUAAUACGGAGGAUUCAAGCGUUAUACGGAUUUAUUGGGUGUAAAGGGUGCGUAGGUGGGCAGAUAGGUUAGAUGGGAAAGCCGGGGUCUCAACUUCGGAAUUGCCUUGGAUACUGGUCGGCUAGAGAGUAGUUGAGGUAGGCGGAAUGUAUGGUGUAGCGGUGAAAUGCUUAGAGAUCAUACAGAACACCGAUUGCGAAGGCAGCUUACCAAGCUACUACUGACGUUGAGGCUCGAAAGCGUGGGGAGCAAACAGGAUUAGAUACCCGUGUAGUC